GAUCAACGCUGGCGGCGUGCCUAACACAUGCAAGUCGAACGAGAAGGUGACUUCGGUCACUGGAUAGUGGCGUCCGGGUGAGUAACACGUAGGUAAUCUACCUUCGGGUGGGGAAUAACGUCUCGAAAGGGACGCUAAUACCGCAUAAUGCAGCGGCACCUAAUGGUGAUUAGUUGUUAAAGCGGGGGAUCUUCGGACCUCGCGCCUGAAGAGGAGCCUGCGGCAGAUUAGCUAGUUGGUGAGGUAAUGGCUCACCAAGGCUUCGAUCUGUAGCUGGUCUGAGAGGACGGCCAGCCACACUGGCACUGACACACGGGCCAGACUCCUACGGGAGGCAGCAGUCGGGAAUUUUGGGCAAUGGGCGCAAGCCUGACCCAGCAACGCCGCGUGAAGGAUGAAAUCCCUC
This 406-nucleotide ribosomal RNA is filed under the name uncultured bacterium. RNAcentral describes it as "bacterial SSU rRNA". It matches the Rfam family "Bacterial small subunit ribosomal RNA", at positions 28 to 419 of the family's 1533-position model. The record is from RNAcentral.